RNAcentral lists this ribosomal RNA (495 nucleotides) under uncultured bacterium. RNAcentral describes it as "partial 16S ribosomal RNA". It matches the Rfam family "Bacterial small subunit ribosomal RNA", at positions 28 to 523 of the family's 1533-position model. The record is from RNAcentral.
GAUGAACGCUGGCGGCGUGCUUAACACAUGCAAGUCGAGCGAAGCGAUUUUGAGGAAGCCUUCGGGUGGAAUUAAAAUUGACUUAGCGGCGGACGGGUGAGUAACGCGUGGGUAACCUGCCUCAUACAGGGGGAUAACAGUUAGAAAUGACUGCUAAUACCGCAUAAGCGCACAGUGCUGCAUAGCACAGUGUGAAAAACUCCGGUGGUAUGAGAUGGACCCGCGUCUGAUUAGGUAGUUGGUGAGGUAACGGCCCACCAAGCCGACGAUCAGUAGCCGACCUGAGAGGGUGACCGGCCACAUUGGGACUGAGACACGGCCCAAACUCCUACGGGAGGCAGCAGUGGGGAAUAUUGGACAAUGGGGGAAACCCUGAUCCAGCGACGCCGCGUGACUGAAGAAGUAUUUCGGUAUGUAAAGGUCUAUCAGCAGGGAAGAAAAUGACGGUACCUGACUAAGAAGCCCCGGCUAACUACGUGCCAGCAGCCGCGGUAA